RNAcentral lists this ribosomal RNA (579 nucleotides) under Triticum aestivum (bread wheat). Its description in RNAcentral is "partial small subunit ribosomal RNA". The record is from RNAcentral. Lineage: Eukaryota; Viridiplantae; Streptophyta; Magnoliopsida; Poales; Poaceae.
AUGCUCACUAUCGCCGACCGCCGUGUUCAGGUCCGGUGUGUGCUCACUGCCCUACCAACCUUUGCCCUGACUGCCCUCAAGUUUCCAAGGAAGCUGCCGAAGGAAAUCGACAAAAGCAGGCGCCAUUUCCUCUGGGGGAGGGAUCAAGAACUCUUCGGGGGAAACUGUAAGGUGAACUGGCAUCGGGUUUGCUCCCCGAUCGAGCUGGGAGGGCUCGGAGUUCUGAGCCUGCAAAAAUUCACUCGAGCGCUCCGCCUGCGUGGGCUAUGGCAAUCCUGGCAGCAACCACCCUGACCAUGGGUGGGAUCGGAGAUGCCCUAUGAUGAUUUGGAUCAUGCCCUCUUCAAAGCUGCCACGACGGUGACCAUCGGCAAUGGACAAAUGGCAAGGUUCUGGCACACUAACUGGCUGGGCUCAGCGCCCCAGAAGCUUAGCUUUCCAACCAUGUUUGCACACUCACGUAGAAAGAACAGAACCAUGGCCCAAGCCAUUACCUCUGGCCAAUGGAUAGCGAACCUCGCGCACGGCGAGACCAGUGCCCUACUCAACGAUGCAGUUUCCCUGCAUCGACAGAUUUAA